UUCUUAUCCAGAGAGGCGGAGGGACUGGCCCGAUGAAGCCCGGCAACCGUCACGCAGUUUGUGACAAGGUGCCAAUUCCUGCAGGACUGAUGACAGUCUUGACAGAUAAGAA
This 112-nucleotide non-coding RNA is filed under the name Brevibacillus borstelensis. Its description in RNAcentral is "SAM-I sequence". It matches the Rfam family "SAM riboswitch aptamer (S box leader)". Rfam says of the family: The SAM riboswitch is found upstream of a number of genes which code for proteins involved in methionine or cysteine biosynthesis in Gram-positive bacteria. The SAM riboswitch acts at the level of transcription termination control. RNAcentral also lists the same sequence under 1 other name. The record is from RNAcentral. Lineage: Bacteria; Bacillati; Bacillota; Bacilli; Caryophanales; Paenibacillaceae.